UUUUAAACUUACCAAAUAGUGUGGAGUUAUUCAUGGCCAACAAUCUUUUCUGCUAAUCUUCCAGUCGUGUGCAAAGGAGAAUCAAGAUGACGUAAUCAGGCCAAGAAGAAUUGAAGCAAGUUCAAGCAGGUGUGCCAAGAAGAGCAUAUCUUUUCAGCAGGAAAAAGGAGAGGACGAUGCUGAUAUGCAUCUUGCACGCAUGAUUAUGCAGAGCAAGCGAGUCAAAAUUUCUAAUCUGGCAGAUGAGUAUGGAGAUGGUGAAAGCAGAAAGAGCCGAAAGAAGAGAGAUCAAGACAUGAUGGCUCAAAAGAAACCUCAGAUUUUGACCCAGAAAGACCGUUGCGUCUCUUGUUUUCGUCCUCUGGAUCUUCUUGUUUCAAUCGCCAAUUGCACAUAUCUGACAUUCACAAGGUGGCAGCCAGUGUUUCCUGGCCACUGUUGUAUUUUACCGACUCAGCAUGAAUCAGCUACAAGAACUGUGGAUGACAAUGUUUGGACUGAAAUUCGGAACUUCAAGAAAUGCCUCAUUAUGAUUUUGCAAAGCAAAGGAAGGAAGUGGUUUUUAUUGAAACUGUGAUGGGAUGGGCUCAACAGCGUCGUCAUUGUAUGAUUGAAUGCAUUCCUUUACCCCAAGAUAUUGCCAAAUCGGCUCCUUUAUACUUUAAGAAGGCAAUUGAUGAACCUGAAGAUGAGUGGAGCCAGCACGACGCCAAGAAGGUCAUUGAUAAAAAGUUGACUUUGGACUGAACAAGGGUUUUGUGCAUGUUAUUGAUGAUGAGCAGCAGUUCAACAGCAACCUUGGUCUCAAUGUCAUCAGAGGAAUGCAGCAUCUAGCCGACGAAGACAUGUACCGGGCCACCGCCACGACGCGGUGGAAGUACAAAAACAAGCCGUUGCCAACCUCUUGAAAGAGUGGGAGCCCUUUGACUGGACAAAGCAGCUCCAUGAAGGAUGAUUGUGCCUAGCCUUCUGUGUUUCCAACGUCAACCUUGACUGACCUGUAGGUUUUUGU
Prosopis cineraria is the source of this 1012-nucleotide long non-coding RNA. RefSeq lists it as uncharacterized. NCBI's taxonomy places the organism in Eukaryota, Viridiplantae, Streptophyta, Magnoliopsida, Fabales, Fabaceae. The transcript is spliced from 4 exons. The record is from RefSeq and is a predicted model, not a curated record.